Molecule: ribosomal RNA, 253 nt
Filed under: uncultured bacterium
Lineage: Bacteria
Description: partial 16S ribosomal RNA
Rfam family: Bacterial small subunit ribosomal RNA
Source: RNAcentral
UACAGAGGUCCCGAGCGUUGUUCGGAAUUACUGGGCGUAAAGGGCGCGUAGGCGGCCUUCUAAGUCGGACGUGAAAUCCCUCGGCUCAACCGAGGAACUGCGUCCGAUACUGAAAGGCUUGAAUCCGGGAGAGGGAUGUGGAAUUCCAGGUGUAGCGGUGAAAUGCGUAGAUAUCAGGAGGAACACCAGUGGCGAAGGCGGCGACCUGGGCCAAUAUUGACGCUGAGGUGCGAAAGCGUGGGGAGCAAACAGG